UCUGUCGUACCCACUCCGCGUGGACUGUACGACUAGCAUCUACUUGGAUCCAAGGCGAGCGUGCGAUGCGGUGAAUACUAUAAGCACUAAACCAUGGUGCAGGAUUUGAGCUCAAUAUAUAUCAACAUCAUCAUAACAGUAUUUAAAUAAUCACCUGAUACUCACCUGUGCGUCCACCGCACCAUUUCAUACAUAUGCAUCAUAAAUCAAUUCUUACAUGUGCGUCCACCGCACCAAUUCAUACAUAUGCAUCAUAUAUUAAUUCAUGCAUGGCAUUUCAACUCACAUUUCUAUAUACUUUUCAUAUCAAUUCUAUGCAUGGUAUUUCACUUCCCGUUUUUCCACAUAACUCAUAUGCAUUUCAUUUUAAACAUAUUUUCAUUUCAAUUCAAUUUCUGGGAAACGUCAAGUAUAUAUAUAUAUACGGAAAACAAAACUGCCCACUCACCUGGAGUUCGUCCAACAACUCCCUAGCACCACACAUCAAGGCGUCACGACGAUCGCCGCCUAGAAUAGUAAUCAAAUCCAACCUCAGAAUUCAUAUCGAUAGAAUAUUUAACUUAUAUAAAAUACGUCACUACGUAGUUCGAUCCGGAAGAUCUGCCACUCAGAUUUUAAAUCCAUAACUUCCAGAGGUCCACAAUAUACCUCUAGGACAACAUCCUAAAAUUUCAUUACCAUCCAACGGUUGGAUUUCCGUCAAUUUCCAAAACUAAGUGACGGUUAACAUUUUAUAUUAUGGACUUACAAUUCCAAUUCCGGAAGAUCCGUAACUCGGAUUCCCAAUCCGUAAGUUCCAAUAAUCCUCAAAUAUUACGUAUUAUAACGUAUCAAAGUUUGGUGAUGCUCCAACGGUCGGAUCAUCAAUUCACAUUUUCACCUAAAUGUGAAAACUAUAAAACGUUAUUUGAACACCUAACCAACAAUCUUCAAUAACUUUCUCAUACGGUGUUCAAUUUAGGUAUAUGAAUAUACCACAGUGAUCUACUCGACGUCACGGACGUCGACAUAUUUUUAAAAUAAUUUUAUUUUUAUUUUUUAUUUUUUACUGUAGCACCUUCUUCUUCCUUGGGUCGCCGGACUGGUUUUUCCGGCGGCCGUUUUCUGGGCAGUUUUUCAAAUUGCCAUAACUUUGUCAUUUCUCAACGAAAUCAAGUGAUUCAAAAACUAAAGUUGUAGCCCUUGAAGAUAAAAAGAGAAUGGUACCUUGCACAACACCUAGUUCGCCGUGGUUUGGCCGGAAACUGCCUCGAAAGCCUCGGAGGUCGCCGGAAACUGGGUAUUUUUCAAAUGAGUAUAACUUCUUCAAUACUCAACUAAAUUGAGUGAAACAAAAAGGAAAGUUGUAGUACUUGACGAGACGAAGAGAUUGAUACCUACCUCGACUCCUAACUCGCCGGGGAUUCGCCGGAAAACGCCUCGAAAGCUCCGGCCAAACUUUGAACUUGUCGAUCUCCGUGUUCUUACGUCCAAAAACUUCCAACGAAGCACUCCGAGCUUCCUUGGGACAUCCUAAAGCUCACUAUGAGCUUGGUUUGGC
This 1540-nucleotide long non-coding RNA is filed under the name Malus domestica (apple). RNAcentral's name for it is "long non-coding RNA (MDOM_LNC009440)". The record is from RNAcentral. Lineage: Eukaryota; Viridiplantae; Streptophyta; Magnoliopsida; Rosales; Rosaceae.